AAGGAGCAAAGGAUAGUGAAAGCAGAAGAGUGGGAUUCGUUUAUGGAGACUCUUCGUAAGCCAUUGCCUGCUGCUUUCAGAGUUAAUUCCAAUGGUCAAUUUUGCGAUGAUCUUCGACUCAAGUUAGAGAAUGAUUUCAUGAACUCUUCAGGCUGAGGCUGUAGAGAGUGGUGAAUUGGAGGCUAUCAAGCC
Camelina sativa (false flax) is the source of this 192-nucleotide non-coding RNA. Lineage: Eukaryota; Viridiplantae; Streptophyta; Magnoliopsida; Brassicales; Brassicaceae. The record is from RefSeq and is a predicted model, not a curated record.